CGCGUGCGCAGAGCGCCGGCGCGUGCAGCGGGGGCGCGCGCCGGGCCGUGAGGGCAGCGGCGGGAACGUGAGGGGAGCGACCGGGAGAGGUCCCCAGGAGAGUAAGACUGAGGGGAGGCAGCAAGAGCACAGAACUCUCGCGGGUUCGGCGCAGGGGGAAGGCGCCUCCAUCCCGUGUGCGGAGCUGCGCCCCGGAGCCGCGUGCCUCUGGAAAGGCCGAGGGAGCAGGAGCGGGGGCAGAGCCCUCAUUUGAGCACCAGGAAGUAGGUGGUCCAGCCGGCCAGCAGCAGCGCCCCGAGCAGCACGGUGUAGCUGAACAGCACGAAGGCCAGCAGCUCCCGCAGCACCUUGAGGAAGUGGAUGGCAAAGGAGUCUGGCAUGGCUCUCCCGGCUCCCAACUCCUCCCUGGCCUGGAAGCAGAGGAACAAGAGGGAAGUAGUACCCAACUCUUGCAGACUGAAGAGAGCAAUUCCUGUUGUGGGAUCUAUGGGCUCACACAGCACAAGCCUGGAUUAGGCAAGCUCUGAGCAGAGGGAAAGCCCCAGAAGAGAGGUGUGGGAGAAAUGAGGAACCACAUUACUACAGGCUCCUUAAAAGGUGAUUUGACCAACACCACUCGGAACAGUCCAUCCCAGGGCAGGGGAACAGACUGGAACAGCUUCCUGGUUUUUCUCUGGGUGGGGGAUCAUUGUGGGAGCAGCUUGAGCUGCCAGUCCCAGCCCUGCUGAACACAGACUGUGAAUUAUCUGGUGCACUGAUGGACACAGG
Onychostruthus taczanowskii (white-rumped snowfinch) is the source of this 768-nucleotide long non-coding RNA. RefSeq lists it as uncharacterized. The record is from RefSeq and is a predicted model, not a curated record. The transcript has 3 exons. NCBI's taxonomy places the organism in Eukaryota, Metazoa, Chordata, Aves, Passeriformes, Passeridae.